GAAUUCACCCACCAUAGCUACUCCUUUUCUAUCGAUCUGUUAGGGUUUUGGAGAAACAAAUAGAUAUUGAAGAGAAGGAGAACGAGGAAAAAGAAGAAGAAGAAGAGGAAGAGAAGACGGGGGAGGAGGAAGAAGAAGAGAGUGAAGAUGAAGGGACUAAAAAGGUCAAAGGUAGUAGUAGAAAGGGGAGUUCUAGGAAAUCUGGUCGAGAUUCGGCUGAGAAGAAAGAGCCAGUGACGCCUAGUAGUGAAGAUGGGUUCAUCGCCUGCACCACUUCCGUCCAACGAUAGUACUGCCAUUGAUCAAAGAGUUGCUUUCAUUCUCCUUUUACUUGCUCUGGCCCUCUAUGUUAUACCAUAGCUCCAGUUAACGAUGGGAUUAAUUAACGAUGGGAUUAAUUAAAGUUGCAUAACUCCAGUUAAUCUUGGCCCUCUUUGUCUUUUCUCUUUGGUAUCUAAACUGGUUAUAUUAACGUUUUUGUUUCUAGUAUUUAUAGCUUCUACUUUGGAAUCAGAAGUUAUUGGUAGGAAGUGUUGAGAAUUGGAGCUAAUUUGGUGUAAUACGCUUGUUUGACAGGUUUCAUGGUUUCUUUUGGAAGGCAGCCAGAAUAGGUGGGUCUCCUUUGCUGCUUGGUUAACUUCUUUCUGGUUGCAUUGAGAAUUUGGAAUAGUCAUGUAAUCUAAUGAUUUUGAUCCUAAUAAUAGCUCCUUUUCGUUUUUUUUUUAAUUUGGGGUUCUUUUUAUGACUAUUUGCAUGUUUGCUUCUUUCGAUUAUGUUACUGUUCUUUGGAUGAUCAAAAUUCCUAUCUGAAGAAAUUUAGUCCAAAUUUGUUUCUGUUUUGCUUUCUUAAUAAUGGGUUGUCAAAUAUGACGUUAAUUUACACUUCAUUUUUUUGGGUUUUUUUUAAAAUAAUUAUUUGUUGGCUUAGUAUUCAUACAAUAAAACUGGAUAAAGCUGGUUUCAUUUGUAUCGAUCAGUGUUUAAGUACUCACUACAGCAUUCUCAUCUGCUUAUUUCCUCUAUUGAGUUUAUGUUUAAGUUGUUUUAUCAACAUUUCUAUCGAUACUGAAAGCUGAGGAUGGCAUUUUUCCCUGUUUUAUGCAUAAUGUAAAUAACAUUUAAUUCCGUUUUUUUUGUUCUUUGAUAUUGACAAAUCAGGUUAGUUGAUGUUUGAGUAUCUUUAUUGCCAUUGUGUAUGGGCCACUCUAGUUUCUUGAAUUUGUUGUUUGCUGUCGGUGUGUGGUGUGCUGCAUAUAUUACUGUCGCGGUUAUGGCGUCUUUGCGCAUCUUCAAUUCAAUCUGUUCAUUCUGAGUCAGUAAAGCAAUUUGACUGGUGUGGAACGCUGUAAUGGGAUAUGCACAACUGGUUAUUGGUCCUGCAGGCAGUGGAAAG
This 1393-nucleotide long non-coding RNA is filed under the name Gossypium barbadense (sea-island cotton). RNAcentral describes it as "long non-coding RNA (GBAR_LNC008927)". The record is from RNAcentral. Lineage: Eukaryota; Viridiplantae; Streptophyta; Magnoliopsida; Malvales; Malvaceae.